UGAUAUUUGCAUUUCAACCAGGAGUAGUUAUAAAAUUUUGUUAUUUGUACAAAUAGCAUCUAGUGUUACUGAAACUACUGUAGUUCUAUGUAAUUAGCAGUUGUUUAUGUUUGGAUGAAUCUGCUGUAACAAUGUUGAACAAUGGAGUCAUGCUAGUUGAGAGAUUAAUUUUUCUAGGAAUUUCUUUUAUAUUUUAUUGGUUUAAUCAUCGUAUAGAUGAGAUAUUUUAGAAUGGUUAGGUUAAAAUAGUUUUAGGGUUAAAUUUGGUAUUGGCAUUUUAUUAAGGUUUUGGGUUUAGCCAUAAGUAUCUUCUUAUUUUAGUUUUAAUUAGGUUUUAGAUGAUGAAUAGUUGAGAUUUUGAGAUAUCAAUUAUUGAGAUGCUCACGCUCUUAAUGAUUCUUGUUGGGUUUUCUCCUUUCUUCUAUUUCUCCCUUUAUUUCCUCACUUCCUCUGUAAUUGUUUCUGCCUAUUUGUGAUUAUCAUAUAAACUUAUUUUCUAAUCUCUUUCACCUACUUGUUCUUUAUUGUACAAAUAGCAUGUAGUAUUGCUGAAACUACUGUAGUUCUAUGUAAUUAGCAGUUGUUUAUGUUUGGAUGAAUCUGCUGUAACAAUGUUGAACAAUGGAGUCAUGCUAGUUGAGAGAUUAAUUUUUCUAGGAAUUUCUUUUAUAUUUUAUUGGUUUAAUCAUCGUAUAGAUGAGAUAUUUUAGAAUGGUUAGGUUAAAAUAGUUUUAGGGUUAAAUUUGGUAUUGGCAUUUUAUUAAGGUUUUGGGUUUAGCCAUAAGUAUCUUCUUAUUUUAGUUUUAAUUAGGUUUUAGAUGAUGAAUAGUUGAGAUUUUGAGAUAUCAAUUAUUGAGAUGCUCACGCUCUUAAUGAUUCUUGUUGGGUUUUCUCCUUUCUUCUAUUUCUCCCUUUAUUUCCUCACUUCCUCUGUAAUUGUUUCUGCCUAUUUGUGAUUAUCAUAUAAACUUAUUUUCUAUCUCUUUCACCUACUUGUUCUUUAUUUGUACAAAUAGCAUGUAGUGUUACUGAAACGACUGCAGUUCUAUGUAAUUAGCAGUUGUUUAUGUUUGGAUGAAUCUGCUGUAACAAUGUUGAACAAUGGAGUCAUGCUAGUUGAGAGAUUAAUUUUUCUAGGAAUUUCUUUUAUAUUUUAUUGGUUUAAUCAUCGUAUAGAUGAGAUAUUUUAGAAUGGUUAGGUUAAAAUAGUUUUAGGGUUAAAUUUGGUAUUGGCAUUUUAUUAAGGUUUUGGGUUUAGCCAUAAAUAUCUUCUUAUUUUAGUUUUAAUUAGGUUUUAGAUGAUGAAUAGUUGAGAUUUUGAGAUAUCAAUUAUUGAGAUGCUCACGCUCUUAAUGAUUCUUGUUGGGUUUUCUCCUUUCUUCAAUUUCUCCCUUUAUUUCCUCACUUCCUCUGUAAUUGUUUCUGCCUAUUUGUGAUUAUCAUAUAAACUUAUUUUCUAUCUCUUUCACCUACUUGUUCUGCAUGAAGUAUGUUAUGUUCCCUUAUUUAUUGGAUCGAGAACAUCGCAAGAAUGGUCUUGGUAUUUUGCCCUAGGUUACUAAAAGUAUUAUUUUUAAGGUCUC
This 1583-nucleotide long non-coding RNA is filed under the name Gossypium barbadense (sea-island cotton). RNAcentral describes it as "long non-coding RNA (GBAR_LNC011234)". Lineage: Eukaryota; Viridiplantae; Streptophyta; Magnoliopsida; Malvales; Malvaceae. The record is from RNAcentral.